GCUGGGAAUGUAGAUUAGUGGUAGAGCACUUGCCUAGCAUGUGCAAAGUCCUGGGUUCCAUCCCCUGCACAGCA
RNAcentral lists this transfer RNA (74 nucleotides) under Marmota monax (woodchuck). RNAcentral's name for it is "tRNA.Ala". The record is from RNAcentral. Lineage: Eukaryota; Metazoa; Chordata; Mammalia; Rodentia; Sciuridae.